CCAAUAGCGUAUAUUAAAGUUGUUGCAGUUAAAAAGCUCGUAGUUGAAUUUCGGGAUCAAUAUAUCGGUCGUGCCAUCGGUACGUACUGGUAUCAUUGGUUUCUCCUUUCUGACGAACCAUGAUGUCAUUAAUUUGGUGUCAUGGGAAGUUAGGACUGUUACUUUGAAAAAAUUAGAGUGUUUAAGCAGGCUUUAGCUUGAAUACAUUAGCAUGGAAUAAUGAAAUAGGACGUUCGAACCUAUUUUGUUGGUUUCUAGGAUCAACGUAAUGAUUAAUAGGGAUAGUUGGGGGCAUUAGUAUUCAAUUGUCAGAGGUGAAAUUAUUGGAGUUAUUGAAGACUAACUACUGCGAAAGCAUUGGACAAGGAUGUUUUCAUUAAUCAAGAACGAAAGUUAGGGGAUCGAAGAAGAUAAGAUACCGUCGUAGUUUUAACCAUAAACUAUGCCGACUAGGGAUCAGAGGAUGUUAAUUUUUUAAUGACUCAUUCGGCGCCUUACG
Molecule: ribosomal RNA, 499 nt
Filed under: uncultured Glomeromycotina
Lineage: Eukaryota; Fungi; Glomeromycota
Description: partial small subunit ribosomal RNA
Rfam family: Eukaryotic small subunit ribosomal RNA
Source: RNAcentral